AUGUGCCCAGACACAGGGGACUUGAUGUGCCAGGAUGUUUAAACGCCCAAAGCAGCACGAGUUUUGGAAAUCAACUUUGGACCCUGGAAGUCAAAAAAUAUCCAGAUGCUGAGAUAAAGAGAUAGAGGACUGUGCCAGCCAGACAGCAACUCAGACAUUUCCUUAUCCCCACUGUGGAUGUGCAGAGGUGUGCUCGCUCUUAAGUGAGGAUGCACCACACCAAAACUUUGGGGAAUGAGAUGUUCAUACGCACCUCUUCUGCGAAACAGACUUCACGGUCCUGGACUUUGCAGCACUUAUCCAAAAAGCCCGAGAAAUCUGCAGUGAUGACCGCGAACUGCUCCUCUGUCAGUUCAGGCUUUUGCCUCACCAGGUUAAUGAGAAGCCUGUGGUUUAAAACAAAAGAAAAUACAGGAGAGUCUGCCAUGCAAAGCCGCACCUUCCCAGAACAUUUUUAGUAGAGCAUUUUCAGAACCCUAGCAGCCAUCCUCAGCUACCUCUCCUUCCGCUCCUUGCCAAGGCAUUCGAGAAGGACAGGACGCCUGACCAAGGGCAAACCACUGAGAGACAGGUCUCCCACACACCCUCCACCGGAACUUACUGAAGAAACCAAGGAAUGCCACCUCCAUACAGGUCUCCACUAUUUCUCCUAGAUGGAGAUCUGAAGCAGCUUCGAGUCAAACAGAACAGCAAUGCGAUAGGACACUCACCAUUCCCUCACCACAGCCAGACCAUUUCUCCUCACUGAGCUGGCAGCACGUGGCGGCAAUGCUCACCAUCUUCCUGGUGAGGUCAAUCAGCUCCGCUGAGGUCAGCUGAGGGGCUUUCCUCGUGUAACCAAUGAGGAACCUUGAAAAGGCAUUUUUAACCAUGUCAUCAUGAGUGUUCACCCCUUCCUCCUUAUCUAGGACCUACUUCUGCUGUUAGAAGGCAUGAGGCAUGUGGCCCCACAAUGAGAAGUGUUCAUUCUGCCAAUCACUCCACAUACCCCAACCCCAUCUCUCCUACGUGUCACUACAGGUUGCGGAUUGCUCCGCAGACUGUUUUCUUCCCAACCUUAGCACUUUCUUGAUUUCAACCGUGAACUUGGGGUGUUGGAACCUUGAUAGACCAAGAGCAGAAUGAAUAGCUCCUCUGCAAAAAUCUACAGGGUUUGGGGAACCCGAAGUCAAUCUAAAAGAUGAGACUUCAUGAGCUGUUCUUGUCAAUGCUUAAUGGGGGAUGACCUGGGAGAAAUCAUGUAGUCACGCUUAUACUGACUUCGAUCCAACUGGAGAUAGAAGAGUAGCAGUGCCUAGGGCCUUGAGACUAAAUGUAUGCUUCCUUCACCUAUUAUUAAUUUUAAGUUACUGAAAACAUUUCAAAACACAUACAGAGUUUGUAAUUUGUGGUCUCCUAACGUCUGGUAGAGAGCACAGCUUUGUUUGGCCAACGCCUGGCUCUCCUCGAUCUGUUUCUGAAAUUCUUCUUCCUAAAAAUACAGACAUCAUUACAUGCAUUAUUCUCUCCUCUCAGACACACAAUUUUCUACAUGCCAGUAUCCUAUUAUAUUAUAAAACCAAUCUUAGAAGCCUUUAUGAAAUAUUGAAGAUGAUAAUGCGUGACUUUUAAGAAAGAAAACAAGUGAACUCUUGAGGAUAUAGCCACUGGACAGAAGAUCUUGUCUUCCUGAAGCUGGCAAAGAUGAAUAUCAUCUCUAUUCUAUUCACCAUAAUGCUUUUAGCUAACAUUUUUAUUUCUAAUAUAAGCCAUUGGUCGCUUAUGUAAAAAGUUAGAAUAACUCAUUAGUUUCAAGAUUACUAGUUCAUAAGUAUAACUAGCUAAGUAUAACUAGCUAAUUACUAGUGAACUAGUAUUUUUAAUUUUUUUUCAUUAUCCAGUGGGGAACAUUGCCAAGGGCAUGUGUGUGUCCUACUCCAACUCUGUGGAGUGGAGUUCCUUUUCUUCUACCUUUACAUGGUACCCAAGGAUCCGGCUCAGGUUCCUAGACUCACACAACAGGCGCCUUUACCUACUGAGCCUUCUCACUCAUGGCCCACAAACUGUAUUUUCAAAGGCUACUAUCAAUGACAUUUACAGAUUAUCCCCCAAAUUCUAGUACCACCUACCAGAUUGUCCUGACAUCCAGGUAGAUUUCCAGACUGGGAACACUUCUCCAAUGAUUCCUGGUAUUUGUUAGCAAUUCUUAGAAUGACUGAGACAGGAAGGUUGGGGUGAGUUCUUGAAUAUCCGUGAAGAAAGCUUAAAUAUGUAGGAAAAAUAUCAUAUUGUUAGAACUAAGGCAACAUUACACUAUUAAUUCCCUAAGCAUUCCUAUAUAGCAGUCAGAGCAUACAGACAUUAAAAACAAAACAGUAAGUGAAGCAGAAAAACAAGCAUAAUUUGAAUUCUGUGAACAGCAAAACUAUUAAGGCAGGCUAUAUAUAGCCCCUCAAAUUACCCAGGAAAAUGUCCUUUCAUGAAAUCAUGGCAUUUGCCAGAAAAUACAUGGAACUGGAAGUCAAUAAGUGAAUAAGUCAGGCUCAGACAAAUGGCAUGUUUUCUCUAACAUACAGAACCUAGGUAUAAACUUAUGUAUGCAUG
Mus pahari (shrew mouse) is the source of this 2583-nucleotide long non-coding RNA. RefSeq lists it as uncharacterized. NCBI's taxonomy places the organism in Eukaryota, Metazoa, Chordata, Mammalia, Rodentia, Muridae. The record is from RefSeq and is a predicted model, not a curated record. The transcript is spliced from 4 exons.